This 301-nucleotide ribosomal RNA is filed under the name uncultured bacterium. RNAcentral describes it as "partial 16S ribosomal RNA". It matches the Rfam family "Bacterial small subunit ribosomal RNA", at positions 509 to 807 of the family's 1533-position model. The record is from RNAcentral.
CAGUCGCCGCGGUAAUCCGUAGGUGGCAAGCGUUGUCCGGAAUUAUUGGGCGUAAAGGGCUCGCAGGCGGUUUCUUAAGUCUGAUGUGAAAGCCCCCGGCUCAACCGGGGAGGGUCAUUGGAAACUGGGAAACUUGAGUGCAGAAGAGGAGAGUGGAAUUCCACGUGUAGCGGUGAAAUGCGUAGAGAUGUGGAGGAACACCAGUGGCGAAGGCGGCUCUCUGGUCUGUAACUGACGCUGAGGAGCGAGAGCGUGGGGAGCGAACAGGAUUAGAUACCCCUGUAGUCCCUGUCUCUUAUAC